GAUGAACGCUAGCUACAGGCUUAACACAUGCAAGUCGAGGGGUAACGAGAGGAAAGCUUGCUUUCCUUGUCGACGACCGGCGCACGGGUGAGUAAUGCGUAUCCAACCUGCCCCCAACUAAGGAAUAACCUUGCGAAAGUAAGACUAAUACCUUAUAAUUUCCUCAGAUGUCAUCUGACGAGGAAUAAAGAUUUAUCGGUUGUGGAUGGGGAUGCGUCUGAUUAGCUUGUUGGCGGGGUAAGGGCCCACCAAGGCAACGAUCAGUAGGGGUUCGUGGAGGAAGGUCCCCCGCAUUGGACCUGAUACACGGUCCAAACUCCUACGGGAGGCAGAAGUGAGGAAUAUUGGUCAAUGGGCGGAAGCCUGAACCAGCCAAGUAGCGUGCAGGAUGACGGCCCUAUGGGUUGUAAACUGCUUUUAUACAGGAAUAAAGUUAGCCACGUGUGGUUAUUUGUAGGUACUGUAUGAAUAAGGACCGGCUAAUUCCGUGCCAGCAGCCGCAGUAA
RNAcentral lists this ribosomal RNA (506 nucleotides) under uncultured bacterium. RNAcentral describes it as "partial 16S ribosomal RNA". It matches the Rfam family "Bacterial small subunit ribosomal RNA", at positions 28 to 523 of the family's 1533-position model. The record is from RNAcentral.